GAAGCUUGCUUCUCUUGAGAGCGGCGGACGGGUGAGUAAUGCCUAGGAAUCUGCCUGGUAGUGGGGGAUAACGUUCGGAAACGGACGCUAAUACCGCAUACGUCCUACGGGAGAAAGCAGGGGACCUUCGGGCCUUGCGCUAUCAGAUGAGCCUAGGUCGGAUUAGCUAGUUGGUGAGGUAAUGGCUCACCAAGGCGACGAUCCGUAACUGGUCUGAGAGGAUGAUCAGUCACACUGGAACUGAGACACGGUCCAGACUCCUACGGGAGGCAGCAGUGGGGAAUAUUGGACAAUGGGCGAAAGCCUGAUCCAGCCAUGCCGCGUGUGUGAAGAAGGUCUUCGGAUUGUAAAGCACUUUAAGUUGGGAGGAAGGGUUGUAGAUUAAUACUCUGCAAUUUUGACGUUACCGACAGAAUAAGCACCGGCUAACUCUGUGCCAGCAGCCGCGGUAAUACAGAGGGUGCAAGCGUUAAUCGGAAUUACUGGGCGUAAAGCGCGCGUAGGUGGUUUGUUAAGUUGGAUGUGAAAUCCCCGGGCUCAACCUGGGAACUGCAUUCAAAACUGACUGACUAGAGUAUGGUAGAGGGUGGUGGAAUUUCCUGUGUAGCGGUGAAAUGCGUAGAUAUAGGAAGGAACACCAGUGGCGAAGGCGACCACCUGGACUAAUACUGACACUGAGGUGCGAAAGCGU
Molecule: ribosomal RNA, 691 nt
Filed under: uncultured bacterium
Lineage: Bacteria
Description: bacterial SSU rRNA
Rfam family: Bacterial small subunit ribosomal RNA
Source: RNAcentral